This 253-nucleotide ribosomal RNA is filed under the name uncultured bacterium. Its description in RNAcentral is "partial 16S ribosomal RNA". It matches the Rfam family "Bacterial small subunit ribosomal RNA", at positions 524 to 776 of the family's 1533-position model. The record is from RNAcentral.
UACGUAGGGUGCGAGCGUUGUCCGGAAUUAUUGGGCGUAAAGAGCUCGUAGGCGGUCUGUCGCGUCUGCUGUGAAAUCCCGAGGCUCAACCUCGGGCUUGCAGUGGGUACGGGCAGGCUAGAGUGCGGUAGGGGAGAAUGGAACUCCUGGUGUAGCGGUGGAAUGCGCAGAUAUCAGGAAGAACACCGAUGGCGAAGGCGGUUCUCUGGGCAUUACCUGACGCUGAGGAGCGAAAGUGUGGGGAGCGAACAGG